UCAGUCAGCAUUUCCAGCAUUAUUUUUUUUUUUAAAAAUAGUUGUAUCUGGUCUUCUUUACUUGUAGGUCAUAUAAUAAUUUCAAUGCAUUGUAUCUCAGAAGUAGAAUGUCAAUAAAAUAUCACUUUUAACAAGUCAAUUAUAUAAUUUUCUUUGUACACAUGGCUACUAUUCUUCAACGGAGGGAUACUUUUGCUUUUCAAAUGAACAAAACAAAAACAUCUCCGGUCUGUGCAAUGAUUUUAGAUGCCUUUUAACAGACUGACGCUUCGGAACACAGGUCUCGGUGCUGUGUUGAGCCAAAAUGUCGAUGGUGUAGAAUACCCCAUCAUAUACCUCAGCCAGAAACUGUUGGAUCGGGAGACCAGACCAUUCCCGGGAUAUCUCACCAGAUUCCUGCACCUCUGA
Molecule: long non-coding RNA, 408 nt
Organism: Polypterus senegalus (gray bichir)
Lineage: Eukaryota; Metazoa; Chordata; Cladistia; Polypteriformes; Polypteridae
Exons: 3
Source: RefSeq, a predicted model, not a curated record